UGCCAGCCGCCGCGGUAAUACGAAGGGUGCAAGCGUUGUUCGGAAUCACUGGGCGUAAAGCGCACGUAGGCGGAUUGGAAAGUUGGGGGUGAAAUCCCGGGGCUCAACCCCGGAAGUGCAUUGGAAACUGGCGAACUUGAGUACGGGAGAGGAAAGUGGAAUUCCGAGUGUAGGGGUGAAAUCCGUAGAUAUUCGGAGGAACACCAGUGGCGAAGGCGGCUUUCUGGACCGAUACUGACGCUGAGACGCGAAAGCGUGGGGAGCAAACAGGAUUAGAUA
This 279-nucleotide ribosomal RNA is filed under the name uncultured bacterium. Its description in RNAcentral is "partial 16S ribosomal RNA". It matches the Rfam family "Bacterial small subunit ribosomal RNA", at positions 506 to 784 of the family's 1533-position model. The record is from RNAcentral.